This 397-nucleotide ribosomal RNA is filed under the name uncultured bacterium. Its description in RNAcentral is "partial 16S ribosomal RNA". It matches the Rfam family "Bacterial small subunit ribosomal RNA", at positions 360 to 774 of the family's 1533-position model. The record is from RNAcentral.
AAUAUUGCACAAUGGGGGAAACCCUGAUGCAGCGACGCCGCGGGAGCGAAGAAGGCCUUCGGGUCGUAAAGCUCUGUCCUAAGGGAAGAAACGGACGGUACCUUAGGAGGAAGCCCCGGCUAACUACGUGCCAGCAGCCGCGGUAAUACGUAGGGGGCAAGCGUUGUCCGGAAUUAUUGGGCGUAAAGGGUGCGUAGGCGGCCCUUUAAGUCAGAUGUGAAAGCCCACGGCUUAACCGUGGGACUGCAUUUGAAACUGGAGGGCUUGAGUGUCGGAGAGGGCAGUGGAAUUCCCAGUGUAGCGGUGGAAUGCGUAGAUAUUAGGAGGAACACCAGUGGCGAAGGCGACUACCUGGACUGAUACUGACACUGAGGUGCGAAAGCGUGGGGAGCAAACA